This 456-nucleotide ribosomal RNA is filed under the name activated sludge bacterium OC18a. RNAcentral's name for it is "bacterial SSU rRNA". It matches the Rfam family "Bacterial small subunit ribosomal RNA", at positions 56 to 512 of the family's 1533-position model. The record is from RNAcentral.
UGCAAGCCGAGCGGUAUUGUUUCUUCGGAAAUGAGAGAGCGGCGUACGGGUGCGGAACACGUGUGCAACCUGCCUUUAUCUGGGGGAUAGCCUUUCGAAAGGAAGAUUAAUACUCCAUAAUAUAUUGAACGGCAUCGUUUAAUAUUGAAAGCUCCGGCGGAUAGAGAUGGGCACGCGCAAGAUUAGCUAGUUGGUGAGGUAACGGCUCACCAAGGCAAUGAUCUUUAGGGGGCCUGAGAGGGUGAUCCCCCACACUGGUACUGAGACACGGACCAGACUCCUACGGGAGGCAGCAGUGAGGAAUAUUGGUCAAUGGGUGCAAGCCUGAACCAGCCAUCCCGCGUGAAGGACGACUGCCCUAUGGGUUGUAAACUUCUUUUGUAUAGGGAUAAACCUUUCCACGUGUGGAAAGCUGAAGGUACUAUACGAAUAAGCACCGGCUAACUCCGUGCCAGC